CUGGUUUUAGCUCAGUCAUGUAUCUACAUUGACUCCUAGCUCAGGCAGGAAAUAGGUCUUAAAGUAACUGACUAAAAUUUAUCUGCUUUUCUGAGGUUCCAAAGCCUUUGGUAUUUUGAGAGACAAGGCCCUGCUUCACAUAUAGAACCACAGCUCACAGAAGCCUUGGAAGGAUUAUCAUUUCACUCACCUCUCUGCAGAGCAGAAAGCUCAGUUCUACACUGCAUAACAAUUGUGUUUGCACAAAGCCCACAGUUGUGAAGCCUUUUCUCAAGGAGUCUCCACAUUGAAGCAGAAGAGUGUGAGGAGUCCUCCUCCUGAGGAGGAAGCAGCAGCAGAAACAACAGGUAACUGACAGAAACUGACCACAGCCCCCAUUCCCCAUCCCCCAGUGCCACUGGGAAGGAGGACAUACACAAAAUCGAAAGUGAAGUCUGGGAAGAAGUGAAAAGGUGAAAGAAGGUGAUUUUAGGAUUUGGUUUUAG
This 485-nucleotide long non-coding RNA is filed under the name Cyanistes caeruleus (blue tit). Its description in RNAcentral is "lncRNA (ENSCCEG00000010543.1)". The record is from RNAcentral. Lineage: Eukaryota; Metazoa; Chordata; Aves; Passeriformes; Paridae.